RNAcentral lists this ribosomal RNA (440 nucleotides) under uncultured bacterium. Its description in RNAcentral is "partial 16S ribosomal RNA". It matches the Rfam family "Bacterial small subunit ribosomal RNA", at positions 338 to 795 of the family's 1533-position model. The record is from RNAcentral.
CCUACGGGGGGCAGCAGUAGGGAAUAUUGCUCAAUGGGGGAAACCCUGAAGCAGCAAAGCCGCGUGGGGGAUGAAGGUUUUCUGAGUGGAAACUCCUUUUGUUAGAGAAGAUAAUGACGGUAUCUAACGAAUAAGCACCGGCUAAAUCCGUGCCAGCAGCCGAGGUAAUACGGAGGGUGCAAGCGUUACUCGGAAUCACUGGGCGUAAAGAGGGCGUAGGCGGGAUAGCAAGUCAGAUGUGAAAUCCUAUGGCUUAACCAUAGAACAGCCUUUGAAACUGUUAUUCUAGAGUAUGGGAGAGGUAGGUGGAAUUCUUGGUGUAGGGGUAAAAUCCGUAGAGAUCAAGAGGAAUACUCAUUGCGAAGGCGACCUGCUAGAACAUAACUGACGCUGAUGCGCGAAAGCGUGGGGAGCAAACAGGAUUAGAUACCCGAGUAGUC